CCUAAAAUAAAUUACUGUACAUUGCACAAAUGGAUCUAUGUGCCACAUGGAUUAGGUUCUAAUUGUCACCAGUUGUUAUUCAAAGUGUUGUGUGUGUCUGUAUUAUUUUUAAAACAGGGAUCAAUAGUUAUAUUUAGAUAUGCCAUUGAUUCAUAUGAGAAUAAUUGGCUGUCUAAUAUAGUAAGAAAUCCAACAUAUGUGAAAGACAUCAUUUUCUUUACAAUCACCUUGAAUUUAUUGUUCAUAUUAGUGCUCUAGUCUUCAAAUUUAUAGGUAUAUUAUUUUGAAUAUUUGAUACUAAUGGGAUUUAGUGAUGUCCAAACUGUGUUCACUAAUAUAUUUUAAUAUCAUUAAUAGAACUAGUUAUUGUGAUGAGCACAGAGGGAUCCAGCACUGAUGGUGACCUGCCUUUGCAGGCUUCUGAUAUUGAUGUAACAACAUGUGUGAUGGAGGAGGAAGUGGCUCCCUCGGAGUCUAAUGAUGGACCUUCCACUUCUGGACAUCAGCCUCCCGCCCCCCCAGCCAGAAGCCCCUCCCCAG
Molecule: long non-coding RNA, 540 nt
Organism: Bombina bombina (fire-bellied toad)
Lineage: Eukaryota; Metazoa; Chordata; Amphibia; Anura; Bombinatoridae
Exons: 3
Source: RefSeq, a predicted model, not a curated record